Molecule: transfer RNA, 72 nt
Filed under: Vicugna pacos (alpaca)
Lineage: Eukaryota; Metazoa; Chordata; Mammalia; Artiodactyla; Camelidae
Description: tRNA-Ala (AGC) (tRNA-Ala-AGC-367-1)
Rfam family: tRNA
About the family: Transfer RNA (tRNA) molecules are approximately 80 nucleotides in length. Their secondary structure includes four short double-helical elements and three loops (D, anti-codon, and T loops).
Source: Rfam by way of RNAcentral
GGGGGUAUAGCUCAGGGGUAGAGCAUGUGCUUAGCGUGCACAAGGUCCUGGGUUCAAUUCCCAGUACCCCCA